CUGAUUCUGGCGUGUGCUGUCUCUGACUCUGGCUCCGUAGGUGGGUGGGGGAGUGUAGAUCAGCUGAUAUUUGGGUGGGAGCUUUCUCAACCCCUUAUAGUGUGGAAAUUUCCAAAUUCCACAUACCUUCAAUGCUGCACCCUACUCUAGAGUCCCUUUGUUCUUACGAAUUUGGUGGGUUUAUUUUUUGGUCUUUUGAGGUAGUCUAUUUCUGUGGGUGCUGAGGAGAGGAAGAAUCUUAUGUCUAGACUGCCGCCAUGUUUAUCCAGAAGUCCUGACAAACAAUCAGAACAGAGCUGGAUUGAGUUCAGACAAAUCAAAGGGAGAACAGUGGAAGGAAACCUAGAUGAGUAUUAAAGUGCUACAACUACUACUCUUUUCUAUGAAUUUGAUGGUUCUGGCUCAAGUGGACUAUCCUUGCCAUCUGAAGACCUAGUAAUGCUUGAUACUACAACUGUCAUGAUGCCAUUCCUGUCAGGUCCAGGCCAAAGAAGCAAUUCUCCGUGGCAAGGCCCGCAGCUGCCUUGCUCUAGUGCUCCCUCCAUUCAUAGGCAGGGAGGGAGUGGUCAGCUCAUACAAGAUUGGUUUAAAAGGAAAAUCAAUACUGGUUCCUCAUCCCCUCUAAGGCAGUGAACUAGAUUGGCCCGGAUCCAAGGAGGAAAGACUCAAGUGGAAAAGAUUGGCUGCCAGUGAGAAAGAGAUUCUGCUAUGCAUACCAGCCAUUUGGGCUCCUGCCACUGAACACAUCACUGGGAGGCUGAGGUAACCUGGCUUACCUCCCACCAUCUGGUUUGGAGUGAACAAAUAAAUAUUGGGAAAUUAUAAAUCA
This 829-nucleotide long non-coding RNA is filed under the name Monodelphis domestica (gray short-tailed opossum). RNAcentral's name for it is "lncRNA (ENSMODG00000032063.2)". The record is from RNAcentral. Lineage: Eukaryota; Metazoa; Chordata; Mammalia; Didelphimorphia; Didelphidae.